UACGUAGGGUGCUAGCGUUGUCCGGAUUUAUUGGGCGUAAAGGGCUCGUAGGCGGCGUGUCGCGUCGGGAGUGAAAGCCCGCUGCUUAACGGCGGGUUGGCUUCCGGUACGGGCAUCGCUGGAGUGCGGCAGGGGAGACUGGAAUUCCUGGUGGAGCGGUGAAAUGCGUAGAGAUUGGAAAGAACACCGAUGGCGAAGGCACUUUACUGGGCUAUUACUAACACUCAGAGACGAAAGCUAGGGUAGCAAAUGGG
Molecule: ribosomal RNA, 254 nt
Filed under: uncultured bacterium
Lineage: Bacteria
Description: partial 16S ribosomal RNA
Rfam family: Bacterial small subunit ribosomal RNA
Source: RNAcentral